AAAUUGAAGAGUUUGAUCAUGGCUCAGAUUGAACGCUGGCGGCAGGCCUAACACAUGCAAGUCGAGCGGUAGCACAGAGAGCUUGCUCUCGGGUGACGAGCGGCGGACGGGUGAGUAAUGUCUGGGAAACUGCCUGAUGGAGGGGGAUAACUACUGGAAACGGUAGCUAAUACCGCAUAACGUCGCAAGACCAAAGUGGGGGACCUUCGGGCCUCAUGCCAUCAGAUGUGCCCAGAUGGGAUUAGCUAGUAGGUGAGGUAACGGCUCACCUAGGCGACGAUCCCUAGCUGGUCUGAGAGGAUGACCAGCCACACUGGAACUGAGACACGGUCCAGACUCCUACGGGAGGCAGCAGUGGGGAAUAUUGCACAAUGGGCGCAAGCCUGAUGCAGCCAUGCCGCGUGUGUGAAGAAGGCCUUCGGGUUGUAAAGCACUUUCAGCGGGGAGGAAGGCGUUAAGGUUAAUAACCUUGGCGAUUGACGUUACCCGCAGAAGAAGCACCGGCUAACUCCGUGCCAGCAGCCGCGGUAAUACGGAGGGUGCAAGCGUUAAUCGGAAUUACUGGGCGUAAAGCGCACGCAGGCGGUCUGUCAAGUCGGAUGUGAAAUCCCCGGGCUUAACCUGGGAACUGCAUUCGAAACUGGCAGGCUAGAGUCUUGUAGAGGGGGUAGAAUUCCAGGUGUAGCGGUGAAAUGCGUAGAGAUCUGGAGGAAUACCGGUGGCGAAGGCGGCCCCCUGGACAAAGACUGACGCUCAGGUGCGAAAGCGUGGGGAGCAAACAGGAUUAGAUACCCUGGUAGUCCACGCCGUAAACGAUGUCGAUUUGGAGGUUGUGCCCUUGAGGCGUGGCUUCCGGAGCUAACGCGUUAAAUCGACCGCCUGGGGAGUACGGCCGCAAGGUUAAAACUCAAAUGAAUUGACGGGGGCCCGCACAAGCGGUGGAGCAUGUGGUUUAAUUCGAUGCAACGCGAAGAACCUUACCUGGUCUUGACAUCCACAGAACUUAGCAGAGAUGCUUUGGUGCCUUCGGGAACUGUGAGACAGGUGCUGCAUGGCUGUCGUCAGCUCGUGUUGUGAAAUGUUGGGUUAAGUCCCGCAACGAGCGCAACCCUUAUCCUUUGUUGCCAGCGGUCCGGCCGGGAACUCAAAGGAGACUGCCAGUGAUAAACUGGAGGAAGGUGGGGAUGACGUCAAGUCAUCAUGGCCCUUACGACCAGGGCUACACACGUGCUACAAUGGCAUAUACAAAGAGAAGCGACCUCGCGAGAGCAAGCGGACCUCAUAAAGUAUGUCGUAGUCCGGAUUGGAGUCUGCAACUCGACUCCAUGAAGUCGGAAUCGCUAGUAAUCGUAGAUCAGAAUGCUACGGUGAAUACGUUCCCGGGCCUUGUACACACCGCCCGUCACACCAUGGGAGUGGGUUGCAAAAGAAGUAGGUAGCUUAACCUUCGGGAGGGCGCUUACCACUUUGUGAUUCAUGACUGGGGUGAAGUCGUAACAAGGUAACCGUAGGGGAACCUGCGGUUGGAUCACCUCCUUA
RNAcentral lists this ribosomal RNA (1539 nucleotides) under Klebsiella pneumoniae. RNAcentral describes it as "bacterial SSU rRNA". It matches the Rfam family "Bacterial small subunit ribosomal RNA". Lineage: Bacteria; Pseudomonadati; Pseudomonadota; Gammaproteobacteria; Enterobacterales; Enterobacteriaceae. The record is from RNAcentral.